RNAcentral lists this transfer RNA (72 nucleotides) under Candidatus Pacearchaeota archaeon. Its description in RNAcentral is "tRNA-Thr". It matches the Rfam family "tRNA". Rfam says of the family: Transfer RNA (tRNA) molecules are approximately 80 nucleotides in length. Lineage: Archaea; Nanobdellati. RNAcentral also lists the same sequence under 1 other name. The record is from RNAcentral.
GCCGAAGUAGCUCAGUGGUAGAGCAGCUGUUUUGUAAACAGCAGGUCGGAGGUCCGAAUCCUCUCUUCGGCU